GUAGUCGAUGGGAAACGGGUUAAUAUUCCCGUACUUCUUACAAUUGCGAUGGGGGGACGGAGAAGGCUAGGUGGGCCUGGCGACGGUUGUCCAGGUUCAAGUGCGUAGGCUUAAGAGUUAGGUAAAUCCGGCUCUUUCUAAGGCUGAGACACGACGUCGAGCACCUACGGGUGUGAAGUCAUUGAUGCCAUGCUUCCAGGAAAAGCCUCUAAGCUUCAGAUUGUAAGGAAUCGUACCCCAAACCGACACAGGUGGUCGGGUAGAGAAUACCAAGGCGCUUGAG
RNAcentral lists this ribosomal RNA (283 nucleotides) under Vibrio alginolyticus. RNAcentral's name for it is "partial 23S ribosomal RNA". It matches the Rfam family "Bacterial large subunit ribosomal RNA", at positions 1411 to 1694 of the family's 2925-position model. The record is from RNAcentral. Lineage: Bacteria; Pseudomonadati; Pseudomonadota; Gammaproteobacteria; Vibrionales; Vibrionaceae.